Molecule: non-coding RNA, 720 nt
Organism: Dermacentor albipictus
Lineage: Eukaryota; Metazoa; Arthropoda; Arachnida; Ixodida; Ixodidae
Source: RefSeq, a predicted model, not a curated record
GCUAAUACGACCGACGAGGAGCGGGUCGCGGAUGCCAAGCGCCAGAAUGUCUUUAUCAACGUUGCCACUUGGAUUCGAAGUCCUGUACAUUGUCUUCUUGAACGUCACCGCCGGCCUUAGCGUCUGAUGGCAUGAAUCGAACGUUCCGGAAGACAUGACUCAGGUACCACUGCAAGCGGGCAAGGAUCACCUUUUCCAUUAUCUUUCCGACACAGCUCGCCAGCGCUGUUGGGCGGUAUGAGAGCUCCCGCCCCUGCUCGUGUUUCUACUGGGCGCCGUUUUCAUUCCUCAGAGGGCGACGCUUCCCCUCGGAUGGCUGCGUCCGAGCACAACCCUCCGAAAUGCCCUGGCAACGCGCUCCGUCCACAGGAAGAGCACAUCUUUCGAAAUCAGCUUAUUCUCAGUAUGAGCUAGCUGUCGUGUUGAAUUCACGCCGCGCGAACCAGAGGCGUUUGGUUUGGCUUGCCUUUUAUGACGGCACAUACCCACUGUGGAGGAUAACCCAAGAUUUGGAUGUUAUUAGGAAAUUGUAUUUACUACUAAAAUUGAUGAAAUUGUCAGGAAAAAAUGAAUAAAAAUAACUGAUGAAGAACUGAAGAAAAUCUCCCUGAAACAACUUUAAGUUCCUCCAAGGCUGAGCAAACAUCCCUCUGAUAGGUUCCAAGAGAGGAGGCUCCUAGAAAAAGAAUACUGAGAAGGAAAAAAAUUAAACCAAGUUGU